This 379-nucleotide ribosomal RNA is filed under the name uncultured cyanobacterium. RNAcentral describes it as "bacterial SSU rRNA". It matches the Rfam family "Bacterial small subunit ribosomal RNA", at positions 376 to 770 of the family's 1533-position model. The record is from RNAcentral. Lineage: Bacteria; Bacillati; Cyanobacteriota.
CGAAAGCCUGACGGAGCAAUACCGCGUGGAGGAUGACGGCCUGUGGGUCUUAAACUCCUUUUCUUAGAGAAGAAGUUCUGACGGUAUCUAAGGAAUAAGCAUCGGCUAACUCCGUGCCAGCAGCCGCGGUAAUACGGGGGAUGCAAGCGUUAUCCGGAAUGAUUGGGCGUAAAGCGUCUGUAGGUGGCUUUUCAAGUCAACUGUCAAAAAUCAAGGCUUAACCUUGAGUCGGCAGUUGAAACUAUGAAGCUUGAGUUAGGUAGGGGCAGAGGGAAUUCCUAGUGUAGCGGUGAAAUGCGUAGAUAUUAGGAAGAACACCAAUCGCGAAAGCACUCUGCUGGGCCAUAACUGACACUCAGAGACGAAAGCUAGGGGAGCG